This 252-nucleotide ribosomal RNA is filed under the name uncultured bacterium. RNAcentral's name for it is "partial 16S ribosomal RNA". It matches the Rfam family "Bacterial small subunit ribosomal RNA", at positions 524 to 776 of the family's 1533-position model. The record is from RNAcentral.
UACGGGGGGGCAAGCGUUGUUCGGAAUUACUGGGCGUAAAGGGUUUGUAGGUGGCUUGUUAAGUCAGACGUGAAAUCCCUCAGCUUAACUGGGGAACUGCGUCUGAGACUGGUGAGCCUGAGUGCAGGAGAGGAACGCGGAAUUCCAGGUGUAGCGGUGAAAUGCGUAGAUAUCUGGAGGAACACCGGUGGCGAAGGCGGCAUCCUGGACCAACACUGACACUGAGGAGCGAAAGCCAGGGGAGCAAACGGG